This 170-nucleotide ribosomal RNA is filed under the name uncultured bacterium. Its description in RNAcentral is "partial 16S ribosomal RNA". It matches the Rfam family "Bacterial small subunit ribosomal RNA", at positions 356 to 517 of the family's 1533-position model. The record is from RNAcentral.
GGGGAAUUUUGCGCAAUGGGCGAAAGCCUGACGCAGCAACGCCGCGUGAGUGAUGAAGGCUUUCGGGUCGUAAAGCUCUGUCAAGGGGAAAGAAGUGUAUUGUGGUUAAUACCCGCGAUACUUGACGGUACCCCUAAAGGAAGCACCGGCUAACUCCGUGCCAGCAGCCG